UACGGAGGGUGCAAGCGUUGUCCGGAUUUAUUGGGUUUAAAGGGUGCGUAGGCGGCUUUUUAAGUCAGUGGUGAAAUCCUACAGCUUAACUGUAGAACAGCCAUUGAUACUGAAGAGCUUGAGUACAGACGAGGUAGGCGGAAUUUAUGGUGUAGCGGUGAAAUGCAUAGAUACCAUAAAGAACUCCUAUUGCGAAGGCAGCUUGCUAGGCUGUAACUGACGCUGAGGCACGAAAGCGUGGGGAUCAAACAGG
This 253-nucleotide ribosomal RNA is filed under the name uncultured bacterium. Its description in RNAcentral is "partial 16S ribosomal RNA". It matches the Rfam family "Bacterial small subunit ribosomal RNA", at positions 524 to 776 of the family's 1533-position model. The record is from RNAcentral.